Molecule: long non-coding RNA, 4114 nt
Filed under: Lactuca sativa (garden lettuce)
Lineage: Eukaryota; Viridiplantae; Streptophyta; Magnoliopsida; Asterales; Asteraceae
Description: long non-coding RNA (LSAT_LNC009075)
Source: RNAcentral
UAGACCCACCGCUACUGGAAGGUAACUCACCUCGAAAAGUAGCUACCGAAAGUCUCACUCUUUGAUUCUCGACUUCCUGUUUAGACUCUUUAAACCUUUCAAAAGUCUCUGACUUAUGAUUGAUUAAAUAGACACAUCCACAUCUACUAUAAUCAUUAGUAAAAGUCAAAUAAUAACGAUUAACAUCCCUUGUGGAAGAUUUGAAGGGUCCACACACAUCCGUGUGCACUAGAUCCAACAAACCUUCAUCCCUAGCACAAGAACCGGUGAAAGGUGACUUUGUCAUUUUUCCAAGUAAGCAUGAUUCACAACUAUCAUCUGACUUUAGGUCAAAUGACUCCAAGACUCCAUUUUUUUGGAGUUGGCCUAUGCGUUUCUUGCUCACAUGUCCAAGGCGAUAAUGCCAUAAUGAUGUUUUAUCCAAGUUAUUAUUAUCAGAAGAAUCAAUACACAACACAUUAUUUCCUAGAUUAUCUACAACAGAUACAACUUCAUACACACCAUCACAAGGUAAUGCUUUAAAAUAAAGAACAUUAUUAAAGAAAGCAUUUAUUCCACCAAUUUCAUUAUCAAAAGAAAAGGUAAACUCUUGUUUGUACAAAGCAUGAAAGGAAAUAAUAUUUCUUGCCAUUUCUGGUGAAUAAAAAUAUUUAUUCAAAUCUAAAGUAAACCCACUACUUAGCAACAAAGAAUAAACUCCAAGAUUGGUGACAGGUGAAACUUUCCUAUUCCCCAUGAUCAAGUUUAUCUUUCCAUGCUCCACAUUCUCACUUCUUCGUAGUCCCUACAAAUCAUAACAGAUAUGAAUACCACAACUGGUAUCAAGGACCCAAGAGUUAGAAUAAGGUGAGUUAUUAGAUAGAAUAGUGUAAAUACCUGCAUGGUUAGGUUUAACUUUCCCAUCCUUCACAUCUUGCUGGUACUUUGGGCAGUUCCGCUUCCAAUGCGACUUUUCAUGGAAAUAGAAGCAUUCAGCCUCUUUUGGGUCAGAAGAAUGAGUGACGAAACCUUUCUUGGUUCCACUUGAAGAAGAGCCAUCAAGGGUCCUAGCCUUGGUACCCUUUCGAAGAGCUCUUCCUCUUCUUCCAUCUACCUUUCCUGAUUGCCAAGACAUGGACGGAGUUUGGAGUAGGAUUAGGAGAGUCAACAACCGACUUACCUUUAAGACCUGCUUCUGCGGUCUUUAGAAGUCCUUGAAGUUUGUUGAGUGUGACUUCUUCCUUAUUCAUGUUGUAUGUCAUGUGGAAUUGAUCAUAACACGAGGGUCAGGAGUGCAAAAUGAUAUCUAUUGCAAGCUCCUCGGGGAAGUUCACAUUAAGCUUCAACAAAUGAUCCACAUACCUUUGCAUUUUCUGCAUGUGGCUCAUGACGGAAUCUUCGCCCUUCAUCCUGGUUGUUAUCAUGGAGGAGAUUAUUUCAUACCGCUCUUGACGAGCACUCUGAUGGUAUCUUUCCAUCAUAUCUUGGUGCAUAUCAAAAGGGUAGUAGUCCUCAUAGGACUUCUGGAGUUCAGCUGUCAUGGUGGCCAUCAUGAUGCAUGCCACUUUGAUGGUAUCUCUUUCAUGAGUCUGAAAGUCAGCGAUCUCCUGGGGAGUAGCAGUGGACUCAUCGAUCUCCUUUAGCUCCUUAUCGAGGACAUAUUCCUUGUCCUCGUAACAAGUCACCACCCUGAUGUUCCGGAUCCAAUCCAUAAAGUUGAAACCAUCGAAGUUGACCCUCCCACAUAGGUUCAUGAAGGAAAAGGAGCCAGUAGGGUUUGAGCUAGAAGUAGUGUUGUUGGAAGACAUCUGAAAAGAAGAGAACAACUUUAGUUUAGAUAUAAAUAUUGUCCUUAAUAAAACACCCAAAUGUAAUAUUAAGGCUAUGAUCCAAUCACAAUAUAUCAUAACUUAGAAGAGGUAUGUCGUAAUCUAAGCUAUAACAUAUUUGAAAGGUAGGUGAAUGACGAUUCACCAAUUUCCACCAAAAACCGAAAUAUAAAUUAUUAGGUUUUAAUUGGUUCUUAUAAAUUCCUAUAUUCUUUUGAGAUUCAAUGAACUUUCAAAGGCAUGUUUCAAUCUCGAGUGUGCCCUCCAAGUUCUGUGACUGGGAUACCGAGGAUCACAAAACGAGGUGUGAAGUAACCAUGCAAAUCACUUGGUACCCAUAAAGUUUAUCACUCAAUCGAUGUGUCGGUUAACCACACGCGCUCCACCAACCUAUAAUAAACUUUAAGUCACCCUUUACCUACCUUGUUAAGUCCAGAUUAGUGUGCCGGUUAACCACACACGCUCCACUAAUGACUUAAACAGAGUGUAAAGUGUAAUUUCAUGGAUUAGCACCUUAUUAACAUUUUCCUAAAGUAACUAAGAUUGGGAAUUUAAUAAAACAUCUAGUUACUUUAUAAUAUUCAUCAUACUUUUAAUGAGAAUAUAUAAGUCAUUGUCCUACCCGUUCGGCUAACGACCCUCCACCGAUCAAGGAAGCGGUAGGUGAGAGUGGACACCCAUUAAGCUGUCAUUUUAUAGGCAGCAACCUUAUACCCACCUUAUAGACCGGCUUCGUGAAUGAGGCCUACUAAUGGUAAGACGACUUGCUCUUAUACAUAUAUUGUAACAUCCCAAAAAUACGAGCCAAAAAUUUCAUUUUUAAAACAUAUACUUAGCAAACAUUAUAAUUAUAACGUUCACCAAUCAUAUCAUUUCAUAAAAGUUAUCGUAUGUCUUGAAAAACAUUUUAUAAAACAUAAUAAUGACAGAGUACAAAUUCUCAAGAGGGUCUCGUAGUGUGGAAUACUAGGCAUGUGUGUGAUGGGCCGCUACCGCGCCAGCUCCUUCCCCUUCGAAGAAGAGGUACCUGAAACCAAAACUGAAAAUUGUAAGCACGAAGCUUAGUGAGUUCCCCCACUAUACCAUAUACCAUAUAAUCACAUAACAUACAGAUACUGCCGGGCAUAUCUGGGUGCCCGACCUACCCCUUCGGUCCUCUCGACCGGAUACUGCCUAACAUAUCUGGGUCCUGGCCUCCCCUUCAGUCCUUACGACCGGAUACUGCCUAGCGUAUCUGGGUGCUGGCCUCCCCUUCGGUCCUUAUGACCGGAUACUUCCUAACAUAUCUGGGUGCUGGUCUCCCCUUCAGUCCUUACGACCGGAUACUGGGGACUAUUUCACCCCUACUGCUACCACAUAACACAUAUCACAUAGUAACAUAUCAUACUAGCACAUAAACAUAACACAGGUAGUAGCAACCCUAGAUGAAUAUCACAGAGACAAUCAUCUAUCAUACAACUCCUACUGGUGGGCCGANGUGAGCCCCCCCGCUACUGGAAGGUACCUCCCCUCGAAAAGUAGCUACCGAAAGUCUGACUGCUAGACGUAUGGCUGCUGCACCGGUAAUCCUCCGGCUACAAAUCCAUAUCACAUAGUAACAUAUCAUACUAGCACAUAAACAUAACACAUGUAGUAGUAACCCUAUAUGAAUAUCACAGAUACAAUCAUCUAUCAUACAACUCCUACUGGUGGGCCGACAUUGUGGCCGUAGACCCACCGCUACUGGAAGGGGANAACUCACCUCGAAAAGUAGCUACCGAAAGUCUGACUGCUAGACGUCUGGCUGCUGCACCGGUAAUCCUCCGGCUACAAAUCCAUAAACAUAGAUUAGCCACUCAUAAAUACCCUUAGUCAAUUGACUGACCCAACCCAGGUCCAUGGUCAACUCCUUGGUCAAAGUCAACUUCCAGUUGACUGGAUUCGCCGAGUCGUGGCACAUACUAGCCGAGUCCUUCUCCUACUAACCCGGUCUUACUCGCCAGGUCCCUCUUCCCACUCACCGAGUCACCCUUAACUCACCACUCGGGACUAUAGAAACCGACUCGUGAUCCGACUUGCCGAGUCCAAGAACAACUCGCCGAGUCCCACGAGCAGACCUCCUACUCGCUUCCAAAUCCUCACCAGAGCAUCCCUUAAGAGGAUUUGGAGUUCUGGGACUAUUGCUACACGUUAAAUUGCUAAUUUCGCGUGCAGAUACGAAGGGUUGGACCUUCAACACUUAAACCCCUCUUUCUCAGUGAAAUUUCAUAUGACUCGCCGAGUUUGAAGAACAACUCGUCGAGUUCCAAGCAAUCUUCAUAGGACUC